UACGUUCCCGGGCCUUGUACACACCGCCCGUCACGUCACGAAAGUCGGUAACGCCCGAAGCCGGUGGCCCAACCCUUGUGGAGGGAGCCGUCGAAGGCGGGAUCGGCGAUUGGGACG
Molecule: ribosomal RNA, 117 nt
Filed under: uncultured bacterium
Lineage: Bacteria
Description: partial 16S ribosomal RNA
Rfam family: Bacterial small subunit ribosomal RNA
Source: RNAcentral